GACGUAGGGCGCGAGCGUUGUCCGGAUUUAUUGGGCGUAAAGAGCUCGUAGGCGGCUUGUCGCGUCGUCCGUGAAAACUUGGGGCUCAACCCCAAGCUUGCGGUCGAUACGGGCAGGCUAGAGUUCGGUAGGGGAGACUGGAAUUCCUGGUGUAGCGGUGAAAUGCGCAGAUAUCUGGAGGAACACCGGUGGCGAAGGCGGCAUCCUGGACCAACACUGACACUGAUGAGCGAAAGCCAGGGGAGCAAACGGG
This 253-nucleotide ribosomal RNA is filed under the name uncultured bacterium. RNAcentral's name for it is "partial 16S ribosomal RNA". It matches the Rfam family "Bacterial small subunit ribosomal RNA", at positions 524 to 776 of the family's 1533-position model. The record is from RNAcentral.